AUGGGUCGGAAAGCUGGGCUGUACAUAAACUCAAAGAAGUUUGGCGGCGUCGUUAAGCCGUGCAUGCUGGAGAUGACGGCCUUCCUCAACUGCCUCGCCUUGAACAAGCAGAUCGAUCAAAGUAAUUCCAUAUCUAGCGAUGAUUAUCUCAGUAAGUCUACUAGAAUUGUGUUGUCCUUGUACAUAAACAUCCAGGAAAAGGGUUUUUCAUCUGGAGAUAAUAAACUAUGUCAAAUAUGA
Molecule: ribosomal RNA, 240 nt
Filed under: Triticum aestivum (bread wheat)
Lineage: Eukaryota; Viridiplantae; Streptophyta; Magnoliopsida; Poales; Poaceae
Description: partial small subunit ribosomal RNA
Source: RNAcentral